This 424-nucleotide ribosomal RNA is filed under the name uncultured bacterium. RNAcentral's name for it is "bacterial SSU rRNA". It matches the Rfam family "Bacterial small subunit ribosomal RNA", at positions 444 to 878 of the family's 1533-position model. The record is from RNAcentral.
GACGAAGCGAAAGUGACGGUACCCGCAGAAGAAGCACCGGCUAACUACGUGCCAGCAGCCGCGGUAAUACGUAGGGUGCAAGCAUUGUCCGGAUUUAUUGGGCGUAAAGAGCUCGUAGGCGGCUUGUCACGUCGGGUGUGAAAACUCGGGGCUUAACCCCGAGCCUGCACUCGAUACGGGCUAGCUAGAGUGUUGCAGGGGAGACUGGAAUUCCUGGUGUAGCGGUGAAAUGCGCAGAUAUCAGGAGGAACACCGGUGGCGAAGGCGGGUCUCUGGGCAACUACUGACGCUGAGGAGCGAAAGCGUGGGGAGCGAACAGGAUUAGAUACCCUGGUAGUCCACGCCGUAAACGUUGGGCGCUAGGUGUGGGGAACCUUCCACGUUCUCCGUGCCGUAGCUAACGCAUUAAGCGCCCCGCCUGGGG